AACUAGGGUUUGGGGAGCCCAUUCACCGCCGGUCCGACGCCAUUCCGCCGCCAGUGCCCGCGCCGGUCAACGUCCUCCCCUGCGCUCGUUCUCCACCCACUUUUGGUCGCCAGUCCGGUGGUCGCCAUCCUCCUCCUCCGCCGUCCUUCGCCCCUAUCGUCCUCAGCCGAGCUCGUGGUCGCCGUCCUCGUCCUCCGCCCAAAUCCUCCUCCGCCAAGCUCCUCCUCCAUGGUCGCCUCCUUCACCGGGGUCGUCAGCUGUCGGGCGGCCUCUGUCUCUCAUAGCGAGCGUGGAGAUAGUGGAGGAGAGCAACGUCGAUUUGCUGAAGAUUCUGAAGAGUGCAAACACCAUAUUGUAGUGAACAUGGUCAUAUGUUGGCUAAGCUCCCAGUAUGAUCAGAUGAACUGAUGAUGAUGCUUCAUUUUGACCCCUCAUCUAUGCUUUGUUGCGCAAUCUGACAUGGUUUCUGCUAUUUGAAAGUCUCAAAGAAACUGCUGUUUUCUUGAUGUUCCUUGGUUUCUUGAGCUCCCAGUUGGUGUUGUGAAGAAUAAAAGACGUACAGGAAGUUCCUGGAGCAACACCCCUGAUAUGAUCUAACUAUCAUGGAGAGGUGGUAGUGGGAGUGCGGGACACAAUAUUAGAUAGUCUUAUAGCACUACUGGUUAUUGGUUAAGGUGGUAGUGACACCAAAUUGUUUUUUUAGGAAUACAUGUCUAAACUUCAUGGGUAGCAGUGGACACCAGGAAUUUUUUUUUUUAAGAAACAUGGCCACACGCUGGCUAAGAUGGUAAUGGAUGCCAUACUUUUUGGACUAUGCGUAUUUGAACCAAUGGUGGUUAAUGACGUUGCUUGCAUUUACUACUGUUGUUUUACUGGUGGUUAAUGAUAUCACUUGUAUUUAUUUCCGUUAUAUGAUU
Molecule: long non-coding RNA, 917 nt
Organism: Oryza brachyantha (malo sina)
Lineage: Eukaryota; Viridiplantae; Streptophyta; Magnoliopsida; Poales; Poaceae
Exons: 3
Source: RefSeq, a predicted model, not a curated record